This 460-nucleotide ribosomal RNA is filed under the name uncultured bacterium. Its description in RNAcentral is "partial 16S ribosomal RNA". It matches the Rfam family "Bacterial small subunit ribosomal RNA", at positions 338 to 795 of the family's 1533-position model. The record is from RNAcentral.
CCUACGGGAGGCUGCAGUGAGGAAUAUUGGUCAAUGGACGAGAGUCUGAACCAGCCAAGUAGCGUGAAGGAUGACUGCCCUAUGGGUUGUAAACUUCUUUUAUAUGGGAAUAAAAUGUUCCACGUGUGGGAUUUUGUAUGUACCAUAUGAAUAAGGAUCGGCUAACUCCGUGCCAGCAGCCGCGGUAAUACGGAGGAUCCGAGCGUUAUCCGGAUUUAUUGGGUUUAAAGGGAGCGUAGGUGGAUUGUUAAGUCAGUUGUGAAAGUUUGCGGCUCAACCGUAAAAUUGCAGUUGAAACUGGCAGUCUUGAGUACAGUAGAGGUGGGCGGAAUACGUGGUGUAGCGGUGAAAUGCUUAGAUAUCACGAAGAACUCCGAUUGCGAAGGCAGUUCACUGGACUGCAACUGACACUGAGGCUCGAAAGUGUGGGUAUCAAACAGGAUUAGAUACCCUAGUAGUC